CCUACGGGAGGCAGCAGUGGGGAAUAUUGGACAAUGGGCGAAAGCCUGAUCCAGCCAUGCCGCGUGUGUGAAGAAGGCCUUCGGGUUGUAAAGCACUUUCAGUGGGGAAGAAAGCCUUGGGGCUAAUACCCUCGAGGAAGGACAUCACCCACAGAAGAAGCACCGGCUAACUCCGUGCCAGCAGCCGCGGUAAUACGGAGGGUGCGAGCGUUAAUCGGAAUUACUGGGCGUAAAGCGCGCGCAGGCGGUCUGAUAAGCCGGUUGUGAAAGCCCCGGGCUCAACCUGGGAACGGCAUCCGGAACUGGCAGGCUAGAGUGCAGGAGAGGGAGGUAGAAUUCCCGGUGUAGCGGUGAAAUGCGUAGAGAUCGGGAGGAAUACCAGUGGCGAAGGCGGCCUUCUGGACUGACACUGACGCUGAGGUGCGAAAGCGUGGGUAGCAAACAGGAUUAGAUACCCGAGUAGUC
Molecule: ribosomal RNA, 465 nt
Filed under: Vreelandella stevensii
Lineage: Bacteria; Pseudomonadati; Pseudomonadota; Gammaproteobacteria; Oceanospirillales; Halomonadaceae
Description: partial 16S ribosomal RNA
Rfam family: Bacterial small subunit ribosomal RNA
Source: RNAcentral